Molecule: ribosomal RNA, 468 nt
Filed under: uncultured bacterium
Lineage: Bacteria
Description: partial 16S ribosomal RNA
Rfam family: Bacterial small subunit ribosomal RNA
Source: RNAcentral
GACGAACGCUGGCGGCGUGCUUAACACAUGCAAGUCGAACGGAAAGGCCCUGCUUUUGUGGGGUGCUCGAGUGGCGAACGGGUGAGUAACACGUGAGUAACCUGCCCUUGACUUUGGGAUAACUUCAGGAAACUGGGGCUAAUACCGGAUAGGAGCUCCUGCUGCAUGGUGGGGGUUGGAAAGUUUCGGCGGUUGGGGAUGGACUCGCGGCUUAUCAGCUUGUUGGUGGGGUAGUGGCUUACCAAGGCUUUGACGGGUAGCCGGCCUGAGUGGGUGACCGGCCACAUUGGGACUGGGAUACGGCCCAGACUCCUACGGGAGGCAGCAGUGGGGAAUAUUGCACAAUGGGCGGAAGCCUGAUGCAGCAACGCCGCGUGCGGGAUGACGGCCUUCGGGUGGUAAACCGCUUUCGCCUGUGACGAAGCGUGAGUGACGGUAAUGGGUAAAGAAGCACCGGCUAACUACGUG